RNAcentral lists this transfer RNA (88 nucleotides) under Meloidogyne enterolobii. RNAcentral's name for it is "tRNA-Ala". The stretch from base 16 to 87 matches the Rfam family "tRNA". From Rfam's summary of the family: Transfer RNA (tRNA) molecules are approximately 80 nucleotides in length. Their secondary structure includes four short double-helical elements and three loops (D, anti-codon, and T loops). Further hydrogen bonds mediate the characteristic L-shaped molecular structure. tRNAs have two regions of fundamental functional importance: the anti-codon, which is responsible for specific mRNA codon recognition, and the 3' end, to which the tRNAs corresponding amino acid is attached (by aminoacyl-tRNA synthetases). tRNAs cope with the degeneracy of the genetic code in two manners: having more than one tRNA (with a specific anti-codon) for a particular amino acid; and 'wobble' base-pairing, i.e. permitting non-standard base-pairing at the 3rd anti-codon position. Lineage: Eukaryota; Metazoa; Nematoda; Chromadorea; Rhabditida; Meloidogynidae. The record is from RNAcentral.
CAACUUGACCAGUGUGGGGCUGUAACUCAGUGGUAGAGUGCUCGCUUCGCAUGCGAGAAGUCGCGAGUUCAAUCCUCGCUGGCUCCAA